GGAAUACCUCGGCUGUGCGUGGGAUGUGCUUGGUGCCCCCCUGCUCCUGCAGCUGGCAGCACACCUGGAGGACAAGGUGCUGAGCUGUUCCCUUGUCCUGAUGCUCGUUUCUCUGCAUGUUUUGGUACCUUGCCCUUACUGAAAGGGGCACCUGCAAUAGCUGCUGGAGUGUCUUCACACCGAGAUGUGAGAAGGCGAACAGCCUGACCGCCUGCAGGCUUGGGACUUCUCAACCAAACGGUCCUGAGCAGGAGGAUUUGCCCUGGGACGUUCUCUCUCUGCUGGGAUCUCGAGUCCGGAGCCCUGGUGGACUGCGGAGGGGUUUGGAUGCUCCCUUCUGCCUCCGUCUGGGAAUGAGCCUUGCUGCCAGAAGGCCCCAGACACCUGCUUCUCCCCCAGGCUGCUGGAUUAUUUCUCUUGGCAUCGCCCUGCCAGUGCAGCGGUUUUUACGGAUCUCGUGGAACUGCCUUUGUUGCAUGAAAUCGCCCAGCUCCCAGAUGUGGGAAAGCAGCAGCUCCAGCCCCGGGCUCAGAGCCCUGCUCUUUUUUUUGGGGCUACUUCAUUCAGCGUCGUGGCUCUUUGGAGGAGGAUGGAGUCCGUGCACCUGUGUAGGACAAGUCCUGCUGGUCUUAGGGUCGGUGGUGAAGGCUCGGGGUGCGGGUACCCAAGAGGGGAGCCACGGCGCUGCUGCAGGGACCGUGGCCGCCCAGCCGAGGACGGAUGCUUCAGCUGCGAGCAUGGAGGGAGGAAAAGCAGAGGCAGCAUGACACGUCUGGCACCCAGCAGGGGAGCAGGGUGCACCCGGGGCCGUGGCGAGCUCCUGCACCCCACACCGACCAUGGGAACAGCCCCGGCGCAGCCACCCAGCGUGCGCUCGCUGUGACUCACGUCCCCGCUCGGCGAGGGGUCCUCCCGCACUGACCUCGCUCCGCUGGCUCCCACGCAGGGCAGAGAUGACUAAAUUACUGCUCCCCGCUGGGCUCUGCAAAUUCUCCUCUUGGCCGGGCGGCUUCCAGGCCGGAUACGUGGGGCUGGAUGGCUGAGUGCUCUCAGGUCACACAGUAGCUCCGAUUUUUCCCCUGUGAAGGACCAAGCGCUUGCCCGGUUCCAAGGAAGCAGCUGUGGAAUUUUAUUUUAUUUUAGUUUUUUUUGUACCCCUCUGCUCUUCCUUCUGACUCUUUUUGUGGUCUUGGGCUUUUCACGAGGAUGGUUGGACCCAGCCCGCGGCACCAAGUGUGGUCUCCUGCAGAGGGACGAAAGCCUCCGGAGGAGCCGCACGCUGGGACCGAGGUGGCAGCCUCAACGCUGUGGGUUUGAAACUGUCUGGGAGAGUGUCCCUCGUGUCACCAGCACUGCACGGCCGUGUGUCACCCAUCGGGGUGCCCGCCCGGUACAGCACAGGAGUCGCCGGCUGCCCCUGGGGCUGAGCAUCCUCAUCCCUGCCACAUCCCCCGUGGGACGAGGAGGGGCCGGGGGGCACGGGGCCAAGCCGCAGCGAGGGGAAUGUCAGGACGGGGAAAAAUGUCACCCCCAGAAACAAUUAAAUGGCUUAAUAAAACCCUUUGCCUCUCGGA
This is an RNA transcript of Oxyura jamaicensis (ruddy duck), 1574 nucleotides long. RefSeq lists it as uncharacterized. NCBI's taxonomy places the organism in Eukaryota, Metazoa, Chordata, Aves, Anseriformes, Anatidae. The transcript is spliced from 2 exons. The record is from RefSeq and is a predicted model, not a curated record.